UCACAUUUUUGUUCACUAUACUCUGAAGCCAAUGUCAUUUGAAUCUCAAAAGUCAAAAGGACCCCAGCUGACAUCUGGGGUACAAAUAUCUUGUGAUUAACAGUUUUCAAAUGAGUGAAAUUGGGGCUGAGCUGAGUUUUGAUUGCAGAGUCUUUCCGUGUUCUUGGAAACCAGAGUCAGAUCAGUGCUCACAAACAGAAGCCCCAUCAGCCCGUGGAGGAGAGAGCCCAUUGGGACAGCCCUGGCAUGGAGGGCAUGCAUCGUUCCCAUCUCUGGGAACCAGACCAGCACUAGCCAGAUGUUAGGAAUGUGAGAGGGUAGCAGAGGAACUGACCCUGAUCUAGAAAAGUUGCAAGCCAGAUCCAGGAAAGUCCCGAAGAAGCCAGUUCAAGUUAAGCUGGACCUCUAAGGUCCAGGCAGUAUCCACAAUUACAACCUCUUUUCUUGGCUUGUAAUGAUGAACUUGAGUAACCUGAGCAGGCCCAAGGAGUCAGGUCUCUAGAAGCCUGGGUGGUCAGUGGAGGCCUGUGUGUGUGCCCCCAGCCACCAGGGAGCAAGCAGAAACUGGUGUCAGAGAGAUGUAGUGGAGACAUGUUGGCAAAGCAGUGAGGACCCAAGGAGGGAAGACCAAAACAAGAACUGUGAGAGGGAUGGUGAGAGGAAAGUCCAUGAGGACAGAGGAACAAGUAGUUGUUUGCAUUUGCUUCCCCAGCCCUUUGGCAUAGUAAGGCUGGGCCAAUUUAAAGGGCUUCUGCCAGAAAUGGCAAUAAUGAUUACGUGGCUGCAUUUGAUUCUUCAAGGCACUCUGACUGGUUUAGACCUCUGAGUCUACAAUCAGCCAUCAACCAGGCCUGCUUCCAGAGGCAGCAUCUUCUGGAAACAAAAGGGAAUUUUCUCAUAACCCUUUUAAGAAUCCUGAGAUUACAGAAAUUGGGAAGAUAAAAUUAUUGUGAGAUAAGAAUACUGUUAUUUGGCAAGUGGCGUUGGUGUUAAAAUAAAUUUUUAAAAAAAGAAUAAUGUGUGCAGAAAGGUGGAUCAGCAGCUUUAUAAGAUGUAGGUUCAGGGGCUAAUGAAGGCAUAGUGCCCCCCAAUACUGUCCCAACUUCCUCAUGGUGGCUGAAUUUGCUCCAUCAGUAAUGUGUCUUCUCUCCAACAGCCCUCUCCAGCACUCCAGCACAGAGUUUUCUGGAAUAUAUCUAUCCCCCAGCCAUGGACUUGUGUACUCAGCUCACUAGCUCGCCAGAAAUAACAAGUACCUGGGGACCUCAUGACUAUUCAGCACUGGGGGAAGAGGGUGGUGGGGAAGGUGGAUUUGGGCUAAUUUUCUCCCUUUUUCCUGUUCUGCCAAUACCUCCCAUCCCAGAGAACAAUCAGAUGCCAUCAAAUGAGCAAUAGAAACUAAUAUGGAUUUAAUGAAAUGAGGGCCUUGGAUUGACAGUAUUUUGUUUUAAGGACUCUCUGGGCUCUGGCAGCAUAAUUUAUUCAUAACCUGCUACUCCCCAGGAAGGGAAGACAGAUGGUUUAUCUAUUUCCAAGUUGGAGGUUGGAAAACUAAGAUCAAUAGGCAUGAUCCCAUGGCAAACGCUGCUGUCUGGCUGUGCUCCAAAUCGCUCUCCGCCUUUGUCCUCCUCCCACUCUAAAGAAUGAAAAUGCCAGAGAUUCAUGUUACAAGCUUCCUUUGCAACUGAAGGCAGUAUAACAGAACUAUGCCAGUAGGCCUCUGGGAAGGAUUUCUCUUCUCUGAUCACAGGAGGGAGGCAUGCAAAGAUAACACUCUUCUGUGACCCUCCUUUCUGCCUUUGGAUGUUGUUAGGUGAGGAUAACCCUGGAAGCUGUGGCAGCCAUCUUGUGGCCAUGAGGGGAAGGCCAGAGACUGGCUAAGAUAACAACCUGGUGCCUUGAUGUCAUGGAAGUGCUAAACUUACCCUGGAACCACCUUUGUCCAGAUUUCUUGUAGACUA
Molecule: long non-coding RNA, 1961 nt
Filed under: Homo sapiens (human)
Lineage: Eukaryota; Metazoa; Chordata; Mammalia; Primates; Hominidae
Description: non-protein coding lnc-ENOX1-2:1
Source: RNAcentral